AUACGUAGGGGGCGAGCGUUGUCCGGAAUGAUUGGGCGUAAAGGGCGCGUAGGCGGCGCGGUAAGUCUGGAGUGAAAGUCCUGCUUUCAAGGUGGGAAUUGCUUUGGAUACUGCCGCGCUUGAGUGCAGGAGAGGUUAUCGGAAUUCCCGGUGUAGCGGUGAACUGCGUAGAGAUCGGGAGGAACACCAGUGGCGAAGGCGGGUAACUGGACUGCAACUGACGCUGAGGCGCGAAAGUGUGGGGAGCAAACAGGAUUAGAUACCCUGGUAGUCCACACUGUAAACGAUGAAUGCUAGGUGUAAGAGGUAUCGACCCCUUUUGUGCCGGAGUCAACACAAUAAGCAUUCCGCCUGGGGAGUACGGCCGCAAGGUUGAAACUCAAAGGAAUUGACGGGG
Molecule: ribosomal RNA, 397 nt
Filed under: uncultured bacterium
Lineage: Bacteria
Description: partial 16S ribosomal RNA
Rfam family: Bacterial small subunit ribosomal RNA
Source: RNAcentral